CUUUGACGAUUCUAUCGCUCCCACCGUCGCUUGUCCCGUCCAGUAACCUCAUGAUGCCUCUGCCGAUCUACCGUCACCACCGUCACUGCCGCCCGUCGCCCUUCGACACCUCCCGCUGCCAGCCUGCCACCCAUCUUCGCCGCCCCGUCACCCCGCCUGUCCAGGCCGCUGCCCCGCCGCCCGCCCGUCCGUCCAUCCGUUUGAACAUAUUCAAAUCCGAGCGCUCGCGUCACUCCCAGCGCCAAAUCCGCCCGCCGAUUCGGCUACAAAUUGGAUCCCGCAUGCGCUCGCCAUGUUCACCGAGGGGUUAGAUCGCGACGCACUCAAGGAGCCACGACCGCAUGGACGCCCUCCGCACCGUGCGCGGCGCGGCCGGUCGCGGAGGCCUUGGCAUGCCGCCGCCGGAGAAGUUUCGGAGCGGGCACAUACCUCACACUGCCGUGCCGCUGUCGCGCGCCUCGCUGCGCAGCGACGACGGCAGCGCCGCUUCGGGAUCCGACAUGGACGAGUCGUCGGACACCGAGGAGGUCGAGGUCUGCAGCGGCAGGUACUCGGUGGACUCGUCGCCCCGCCGUGACGACAUUCCUCGCCCGAAGACAAGUGAAUACUGCAGUUCCUAAGACUCGUGUGGCGGCUGCAGAGAACCACAACAGCAAUGCACAUCUAAAUUCGAGCACCUACCAGCCAGAAAGCUAUUCUGCUCAUAUUCCUGCUCGAGAGGAUAGGAAAUCAACGCCUAAAGUGUUUUGUUACAUGUUACAAGUAUAGCAUUAAGCUCAACGUUCAUGACAAAUAAUAAAUCUGUUGUA
Molecule: long non-coding RNA, 809 nt
Organism: Phragmites australis (common reed)
Lineage: Eukaryota; Viridiplantae; Streptophyta; Magnoliopsida; Poales; Poaceae
Exons: 3
Source: RefSeq, a predicted model, not a curated record